This 468-nucleotide ribosomal RNA is filed under the name uncultured bacterium. Its description in RNAcentral is "partial 16S ribosomal RNA". It matches the Rfam family "Bacterial small subunit ribosomal RNA", at positions 28 to 507 of the family's 1533-position model. The record is from RNAcentral.
GACGAACGCUGGCGGCGUGCUUAACACAUGCAAGUCGAACGGAAAGGCCCUGCUUUUGUGGGGUGCUCGAGUGGCGAACGGGUGAGUAACACGUGUGUAACCUGUCCUUGACUUUGGGAUAACUUCAGGAAACUGGGGCUAUUACCGGAUAGGAGCUCCUGCUGCAUGGUGGUGGAUGGAAAGAUUCGGCGGUGGGGGAUGGACUGGCGGCUUAUCAGCUUGUUGGUGGGGUAGUGGCUUACAAAGGCUUCGACGGGUAGGCGGCCUGAGAGGGUGGACGGCCACAUUGGGACUGAGAUACGGCGCAGACGCCUACGGGAGGCAGUAGUGGGGAAUAUUACACAGUGGGCGGAAGCCUGAGGCAGCAACGCCGCGUGCGGGAUGCCGGGCUUCGGGUUGUAAACCGCUUUCGACUGUGACGAAGAGUGAGUGACGGUAAUGGGUAAAGAAGCACCGGCUAACUACGUG